Molecule: long non-coding RNA, 399 nt
Filed under: Brassica napus (rape)
Lineage: Eukaryota; Viridiplantae; Streptophyta; Magnoliopsida; Brassicales; Brassicaceae
Description: long non-coding RNA (BNAP_LNC001467)
Source: RNAcentral
CACCACGAAAAUUCCUCGUCCGCCACGGUCCUCUAUGCUGUCUCUGAUGAAAACCCUCAGAACUCACACAACAACAAUUAUCACAACUCAGGUCGUGGGAAUAGGGGACGAAAUCGAGGUUAUGGUCGCUCGAGAGAAAAAAAGUCGCUAAAACAACAACUGGCCGCAGCAACAAUUUGGCGCACCUUGGUACUACAACCAGCAACCUCCCGUUUAUGCGAUAAUACCUCCUCCCUUUACGUACCUGUCGCAGGGUUAAGUUCCCUACUCACUUGGCUCAUUCCAGCAAUAUCAGCAUCAGCAUGGGAGUCUACUGCAGCAAGAUAUUCUCAGGUCUCAUCCAACACGACCCAACCAUGAAGCGCACAUGGCACAGAUGUCUACAACUCCGCAGAUGAC